This 400-nucleotide ribosomal RNA is filed under the name uncultured bacterium. RNAcentral describes it as "bacterial SSU rRNA". It matches the Rfam family "Bacterial small subunit ribosomal RNA", at positions 355 to 752 of the family's 1533-position model. The record is from RNAcentral.
UAAGGAAUAUUGGUCAAUGGACGCAAGUCUGAACCAGCCAUGCCGCGUGGAGGAUGAAGGCCCUCUGGGUUGUAAACUUCUUUUAUCUGGGAAGAAAAAAGGGAAUUCUUUCCCGUCUGACGGUACCAGAUGAAUAAGCACCGGCUAACUCCGUGCCAGCAGCCGCGGUAAUACGGAGGGUGCAAGCGUUAUCCGGAUUCACUGGGUUUAAAGGGUGCGUAGGUGGGCGAGUAAGUCCGUGGUGAAAUCCUGCAGCUUAACUGCAGAACUGCCAUGGAUACUAUUUGUCUUGAAUAUCGUGGAGGUCAGCGGAAUAUGUCAUGUAGCGGUGAAAUGCUUAGAUAUGACAUAGAACACCUAUUGCGAAGGCAGCUGACUACGCGAAUAUUGACACUCAGGC